CCUGGCGCUGCCUGCCCUAAGGCAGCAGGGUCACUAACAGGGGACCUCAAGACUUUCAUUACUUGUGUCUCACGUCUUCACCACCCUACCUACCCCACCCGCCUUUCUGAGCAUUUGUAUUUGGCCUAAGUGAGGGUGGGGACUCCGAGGUUUCAGACUUCGGUCAGGCCAUGUGAACUUUAUGGAGGCUGAAGAGAACAGCAGGUCAGGGUGUGGGGCGUCUGCAGACAGGAGAGCUUCCAGCACCACCCCACCAGCUCGGGGUUCUUGCCGUGGCCUCCGCUAUAAGCCAGGGCUUCUAUGAUGGCUUAGUCCACUUGCAAUUCAGGAGAUCCAGGUUCAAUCCCUGGUUCAGGAAGAUCCCCUGGAGAAGGAAAUGGCAACCCACUGCAGUAUUCUUGCCUGAGAAAUCCCAUGGACAGAGGAGCCUGGGGGGCUAGUCCAUGAGGUUGCAAGAGUCAGACACAACUGAGCAACUGGAUCACCACCACCACUUCUUUCAUCAUUCAGAGAGGAUUGUCACAUCCAUUUAUACAUACUGAGGCUCAGAGAAAAGCAGUCCAUCAAAUCAUAGGAAGGCAUGUAAGGAUAUAAGGAGAAGACGGCAGUCUGCAGCACAGAAGAGGGCCCUCAGCAGAAUGUGACCGUGCUGGCACCCUGAUUUUGGACUUUCACCCUUCAGAACUGUGAAAAAUAAAUUCCUAUUGUUUAUAAUCCA
Long non-coding RNA from Bubalus bubalis (water buffalo), 718 nucleotides. RefSeq lists it as uncharacterized. Lineage: Eukaryota; Metazoa; Chordata; Mammalia; Artiodactyla; Bovidae. The record is from RefSeq and is a predicted model, not a curated record. The transcript has 3 exons.